UGGGGAAUAUUGCACAAUGGGCGCAAGCCUGAUGCAGCCAUGCCGCGUGUGUGAAGAAGGCCUUCGGGUUGUAAAGCACUUUCAGCGAGGAGGAAGGGCAGUGUGUUAAUAGCACAUUGCAUUGACGUUACUCGCAGAAGAAGCACCGGCUAACUCCGUGCCAGCAGCCGCGGUAAUACGGAGGGUGCAAGCGUUAAUCGGAAUUACUGGGCGUAAAGCGCACGCAGGCGGUCUGUUAAGUCAGAUGUGAAAUCCCCGCGCUUAACGUGGGAACUGCAUUUGAAACUGGCAAGCUAGAGUCUUGUAGAGGGGGGUAGAAUUCCAGGUGUAGCGGUGAAAUGCGUAGAGAUCUGGAGGAAUACCGGUGGCGAAGGCGGCCCCCUGGACAAAGACUGACGCUCAGGUGCGAAAGCGUGGGGAGCAAACA
This 427-nucleotide ribosomal RNA is filed under the name uncultured bacterium. Its description in RNAcentral is "partial 16S ribosomal RNA". It matches the Rfam family "Bacterial small subunit ribosomal RNA", at positions 355 to 774 of the family's 1533-position model. The record is from RNAcentral.